Molecule: long non-coding RNA, 376 nt
Filed under: Mytilus galloprovincialis (Mediterranean mussel)
Lineage: Eukaryota; Metazoa; Mollusca; Bivalvia; Mytilida; Mytilidae
Source: RNAcentral
GAAAUGGGGAAUGUGUCAAAGAGACAACAACCUGACCAAAUAAAAAAAAACAACAGCAGAAGGUCACCAACAGGUCUUCAAUGUAGCGAGAAAUUCCCGCACCCGGAGGCGUCCUUCAGCUGGCCCCUAAAUAAAUAUAUACUAGUUCAGUGAUAAUGAACGCCAUACUAAUUUCCAAAUUGUACACAAGAAACUAAAAUUAAAAUAAUACAAGACUAACAAAGGCCAGAGGCUCCUGACUUGGGACAGGCGCAAACAUGCGGCGGGGUUAAACAUGUUUUGUGAGAUCUCAACCCUCCCCCUAUACCUCUAACCAAUGUAGAAAAGUAAACGCAUAACAAUACGCACAUUAAAAUUCAGUUCAAGAGAAGUCCGA